UGGGGAAUAUUGCACAAUGGAGGGAACUCUGAUGCAGCGACGCCGCGUGAGUGAUGAAGGAAUUCGUUUCGUAAAACUCUGUUCUAUGGGAAGAAAAGGACUGUACCAUAGGAGAAAGCUCCGGCUAAAUACGUGCCAGCAGCCGCGGUAAUACGUAUGGAGCGAACGUUGUCCGGAAUUAUUGGGCGUAAAGGGUGCGCAGGCGGCUUUACAAGUUGGAUGUGAAAUAUUGUGGCUCAACCACAAACGUGCAUCCAAAACUGCAAAGCUUGAGUUAAGGAGAGGUAAGUGGAAUUCCUGGUGUAGCGGUGGAAUGCGUAGAUAUCAGGAGGAAUACCGGUGGCGAAGGCGACUUACUGGACUUAAACUGACGCUCAGGCACGAAAGCGUGGGGAGCAAACAGG
This 404-nucleotide ribosomal RNA is filed under the name Fusobacteriota bacterium. RNAcentral's name for it is "Fusobacteria bacterium partial 16S ribosomal RNA". It matches the Rfam family "Bacterial small subunit ribosomal RNA", at positions 355 to 776 of the family's 1533-position model. The record is from RNAcentral. Lineage: Bacteria; Fusobacteriati; Fusobacteriota.